UGAGACAGGUGCUGCAUGGCUGUCGUCAGCUCGUGUUGUGAAAUGUUGGGUUAAGUCCCGCAACGAGCGCAACCCUUAUCCUUUGUUGCCAGCACAUAAUGGUGGGAACUCAAAGGAGACUGCCGGUGAUAAACCGGAGGAAGGUGGGGAUGACGUCAAGUCAUCAUGGCCCUUACGAGUAGGGCUACACACGUGCUACAAUGGCGUAUACAAAGAGAAGCGAACUCGCGAGAGCAAGCGGACCUCAUAAAGUACGUCGUAGUCCGGAUCGGAGUCUGCAACUCGACUCCGUGAAGUCGGAAUCGCUAGUAAUCGUAGAUCAGAAUGCUACGGUGAAUACGUUCCCGGGCCCUGUACACACCGCCCGUCACACCAUGGGAGUGGGUUGCAAAAGAAGUAGGUAGCUUAACCUUCGGGAGGGCGCUUACCACUUUGUGAUUCAUGACUGGGGUGAAGUCGUAACAAGGUAACCGUA
RNAcentral lists this ribosomal RNA (475 nucleotides) under Serratia proteamaculans. RNAcentral's name for it is "bacterial SSU rRNA". It matches the Rfam family "Bacterial small subunit ribosomal RNA", at positions 1030 to 1504 of the family's 1533-position model. The record is from RNAcentral. Lineage: Bacteria; Pseudomonadati; Pseudomonadota; Gammaproteobacteria; Enterobacterales; Yersiniaceae.